UUGAAAAAAGAAAAAAUAAAAAAAAAAAUUCUACCCUGUUGGGGGUCUGGUGUGCAAUGGCUACAAACAGCAACCUCCUCAGUAGUGUACGCAGCCUGUUGCCUUUAUGGGUUGCCCUUAGGAACCUUGGAGACAGCC
Molecule: small nucleolar RNA, 138 nt
Organism: Delphinapterus leucas (beluga whale)
Lineage: Eukaryota; Metazoa; Chordata; Mammalia; Artiodactyla; Monodontidae
Gene: SNORA70
Rfam family: Small nucleolar RNA SNORA70
About the family: snoRNA U70 seems to be exclusive to mammals and is a member of the H/ACA class of snoRNA which contain H (ANANNA) and ACA box motifs.
Source: Ensembl